ACGAACGCUGGCGGCGUGCUUAACACAUGCAAGUCGAACGGAAAGGCCCUGCUUUUGUGGGGUGCUCGAGUGGCGAACGGGUGAGUAACACGUGAGUAACCUGCCCUUGACUUUGGGAUAACUUCAGGAAACUGGGGCUAAUACCGGAUAGGAGCUCCUGCUGCAUGGUGGGGGUUGGAAAGUUUCGGCGGUUGGGGAUGGACUCGCGGCUUAUCAGCUUGUUGGUGGGGAGUGGCUUACCAAGGCUUUGACGGGUAGCCGGCCUGAGAGGGUGACCGGCCACAUUGGGACUGAGAUACGGCCCAGACUCCUACGGGAGGCAGCAGUGGGGAAUAUUGCACAAUGGGCGGAAGCCUGAUGCAGCAACGCCGCGUGCGGGAUGACGGCCUUCGGGUUGUAAACCGCUUUCGCCUGUGACGAAGCGUGAGUGACGGUAAUGGGUAAAGAAGCACCGGCUAACUACGUG
This 466-nucleotide ribosomal RNA is filed under the name uncultured bacterium. RNAcentral describes it as "partial 16S ribosomal RNA". It matches the Rfam family "Bacterial small subunit ribosomal RNA", at positions 29 to 507 of the family's 1533-position model. The record is from RNAcentral.